CCAACAUAAACACAAAUGAAAUUUCCUCACCCAGUUUGCACUGGGAAGGUUUGUGAGUCGUUAGCAAAAUUGUAACCCACUGAUACUGCUGAUGCAGUGCUGAGAGUGAACUAAAGACUAGACCAGGAUGUGCAUCUCCUACGGGUAAAAUCUCAAUUUAGGAAGUGAGUCUCCUAAAAUAAAAUAUAACCUGAAAUAUAUUCCCUUGUUAUACAGGUGGGCGCCUAACUUCCAUGCUUGAAAUGUAAAGACUGAAAUGUAUUCCCUUGUUAUACAGGUGGGCGCCUAACUUCCAUGCUUGAAAUGUAAAGACUGAAAUGUAUUCCUCUCGUUAUACAGGUGGGUGCCUGGGACAUGAAAUGCAAAAUGUAUUCCUCUCGUUAUACAGGUGGGCGCCUGGCUUUAGGAAAACUAAACAUUGAUAAUCUUAAGACAACUAAAAGUGACUCUCUUUUUUUUCCUUUUUUUUUCAAACGUUUUUUUUUCUUUCAAAUUCAGACGUUUUUUUUUUUUUUGUUUUUUUGUUUUUUGCUUUUUUUUUUCUUGGUAUCUUAGGAGAAAGAUUCAUCAGACUAAGAUUUUGAUCCUAGGAGAAGGUUCAUCAGACUAGGUCUCUAUCUUAGGAGAAAAAUUCAUCAGACUAAGAUUUUG
Molecule: long non-coding RNA, 651 nt
Filed under: Nicotiana tabacum (common tobacco)
Lineage: Eukaryota; Viridiplantae; Streptophyta; Magnoliopsida; Solanales; Solanaceae
Description: long non-coding RNA (NTAB_LNC005638)
Source: RNAcentral